This 471-nucleotide long non-coding RNA is filed under the name Gossypium barbadense (sea-island cotton). RNAcentral's name for it is "long non-coding RNA (GBAR_LNC021755)". The record is from RNAcentral. Lineage: Eukaryota; Viridiplantae; Streptophyta; Magnoliopsida; Malvales; Malvaceae.
GAAGCAGCGGCUUGGAUUUCCUUAGGAGAUGUACUAGCGGGGCGUGGAAGUGUUUUUGCAAGUUCGGGGAAGUUAAGGUGAGCCGAGCAGCCUUUGAUGGCUAGUGCGGCUACAUCGUGGGCUCGAGCUGCCAUUUCUGCGGUGGGGUAAGUCCCGAGCCAUAUUCUCGAUUUCUUUUUUGGUUGUCGGAUUUCGGACACCCAUUUGCCCCAACUCCGCAUUCGUACACCACGGUAUACCGGUUGCUUCCUUUCCAAGUCUCCUACAGCUUUCUUUGAACCUUUAAAAGCUACACUGUUUUUUGAAGUUUUCUUGUUUUGUUUAGGACCCGAAACGGAGAAUGUGAUGGAGGUGGCCACGGUGGUAGUGGUAGAGAUGACGGAACAAGAAGUAAGCGGGUUAUUAUAAUGAGCAUCAUUCUCAAUGUCGAUAUCCCUUUCCAUGACAGAUAGAUAGAUGCCUAGUUUUUUG